Molecule: ribosomal RNA, 113 nt
Filed under: uncultured bacterium
Lineage: Bacteria
Description: partial 16S ribosomal RNA
Rfam family: Bacterial small subunit ribosomal RNA
Source: RNAcentral
CGUUCCCGGGCCUUGUACACACCGCCCGUCACACCACGAAAUCGGGGGUACCAGAAGUCGCCGAGCUAACCGUAAGGAAGCAAGCGCCUAAGGUAAAAUCGAUGAUUGGGGUG